CAGACUGGUAUAGGGCAACACAGGCAAUGGAAUGUCUUGGAUUGAUAAGUCUUGUUUUGGCUUUACUGAUCCUGUUAUUGUACUUCUGUGUACCAUCAUGUAAAGUACGGAAGGCACUCUAUGGAAUGAUUUUCUUCACAUUUUUAGCAGGUAAUUGCACAUUGUUUCUCUUCGUGUUACUCUAAAUAAUAUUAAAAUAUUUAGAAUUUUUUGAGUAAUUAUCAAUAUUAAUAUUCUGAAACAUAGCAUCGAUGUGUGAACAAAACCAACAGACAUAAAAGGUAAAAAUGUCAAAAAUAGAGGGUUCGAUCAGCUGUCAAUAUUAUGUUGUAAUCUUAAAAUCUCUAUGAGUACGUUCUUAAAAUACUGUUUACAAAGUUAAAAUGGUAAUGAUGCUUAUCUUUUUUGUCUCUUUUCAGUAAUGUUUAUUGUGAUUGGAAUUGCAAUUUUCGGUUCGAAGUUCGACGAGAAAGGAUUUGACGUCGGAUGGUCGAUGGGAUUAGCGAUUGCUGCGGCCUUGUUAGCAUUUAUCUCAGGAAUUUUACAAAUUUUAGAGAUGACAUAAUAAUUUAUUUUUAAGUGUGUAUGGGUGUUUCAUGUUGUAUAAUCAUUAUAAAUUGUUUGUUGUAUGUUUCACUGUUUUGAAAUGUUACAUACUACAAGUUUUGUUGUCAU
This 675-nucleotide long non-coding RNA is filed under the name Mytilus galloprovincialis (Mediterranean mussel). Lineage: Eukaryota; Metazoa; Mollusca; Bivalvia; Mytilida; Mytilidae. The record is from RNAcentral.